RNAcentral lists this long non-coding RNA (323 nucleotides) under Lathyrus oleraceus (garden pea). RNAcentral describes it as "Pisum sativum (pea) long non-coding RNA (PSAT_LNC007912)". The record is from RNAcentral. Lineage: Eukaryota; Viridiplantae; Streptophyta; Magnoliopsida; Fabales; Fabaceae.
UUGGAAAAUUGUUUUUGGAAAGAGAAUUUAACUUUGUAAUGAUUCUUGUAUGAAUAUAUACAAAGUAGUUAUCUCGUUUAGUUUUGGAAAUUGUUUAGAAAAAUAUAACUCGGUAAUGAUUCUAGUAUGAAUAUAUACCAAGUGGUGAUUUUCUAAAGAUAUCUUGAAAGGUGUGAGGUGUGAAAAUUGUUUUUAGAUUGUGAGCCAACAAUUAAGAGUUAUACCGACCCAAGGUCUUUAUGAGCAUUUCCUAUCCUUAUGAGGGUAAAACUGUCCUUAUUAUUGAGAAAUAAGUAGUUUUAUCCUUUGGAUGUUUAAGGGUC